RNAcentral lists this ribosomal RNA (465 nucleotides) under uncultured bacterium. RNAcentral's name for it is "bacterial SSU rRNA". It matches the Rfam family "Bacterial small subunit ribosomal RNA", at positions 33 to 507 of the family's 1533-position model. The record is from RNAcentral.
AGACGCUGGCGGCGUGCCUAACACAUGCAAAGUCGAACGGAGAUAUGAUUUCGGUUGUAUCUUAGUGGCGAACGGGUGGAGUAACGCGUGAGCAACCUGACUCUUAGAGGGGGAUAACACCCGGAAACGAGUGCUAAUACCGCAUAAGACCACGACAUGGCAUCAUGACGAGGUCAAAGGAGCAAUCCGCUGAGAGAGGGGCUCGCGUCCCAUUAGAUAGAUGGCGGGGUAAUGGCCCACCAUGUCAGCGAUGGGUAGCCGAGCUGAGAGGCUGAUCGGCCACACUGGAACUGAGACACGGUCCAGACUCCUACGGGAGGCAGCAGUGGGGAAUAUUGGGCAAUGGGCGCAAGCCUGACCCAGCAACGCCGCGUGAGGGAAGAAGGCUUUCGGGUUGUAAACUUCUGUCCUUGGUGACGAAAAAAAAUGACGGUAGCCAAGGAGGAAGCCCCGGCUAACUACGUG